RNAcentral lists this ribosomal RNA (466 nucleotides) under uncultured bacterium. RNAcentral describes it as "bacterial SSU rRNA". It matches the Rfam family "Bacterial small subunit ribosomal RNA", at positions 338 to 795 of the family's 1533-position model. The record is from RNAcentral.
CCUACGGGUUGCAGCAGUGGGGAAUAUUGCACAAUGGGCGCAAGCCUGAUGCAGCCAUGCCGCGUGUAUGAAGAAGGCCUUAGGGUUGUAAAGUACUUCCAGUUGGGAGGAAGGCGUUGAUGCUAAUAUCAUCAACGAUCGACAUUACCAACAGAAGAAGCACCGGCUAACUCCGUGCCAGCAGCCGCGGUAAUACGGAGGGUGCAAGCGUUAAUCGGAAUUACUGGGCGUAAAGCGCACGCAGGCGGUUGAUUAAGUUAGAUGUGAAAUCCCCGGGCUUAACCUGGGAAUGGCAUCUAAGACUGGUCAGCUAGAGUCUUGUAGAGGGGGGGUAGAAUUCCAUGUGUAGCGGUGAAAUGCGUAGAGAUGUGGAGGAAUACCGGUGGCGAAGGCGGCCCCCUGGACAAAGACUGACGCUCAGGUGCGAAAGCGUGGGGAGCAAACAGGAUUAGAUACCCCGGUAGUC